GGGUUGUGGCUCAGUGGUAGAGCUCUUGCCUAGCAUGUGUGAAGCCCUGGGUUUGAUUCUCAGCCCUG
Molecule: transfer RNA, 68 nt
Filed under: Marmota monax (woodchuck)
Lineage: Eukaryota; Metazoa; Chordata; Mammalia; Rodentia; Sciuridae
Description: tRNA.Ala
Source: RNAcentral